RNAcentral lists this ribosomal RNA (497 nucleotides) under uncultured bacterium. Its description in RNAcentral is "partial 16S ribosomal RNA". It matches the Rfam family "Bacterial small subunit ribosomal RNA", at positions 28 to 507 of the family's 1533-position model. The record is from RNAcentral.
GAUGAACGCUGGCGGCGUGCCUAAUACAUGCAAGUCGAGCGAACAGACGAGGAGCUUGCUCCUCUGACGUUAGCGGCGGACGGGUGAGUAACACGUGGAUAACCUACCUAUAAGACUGGGAUAACUUCGGGAAACCGGAGCUAAUACCGGAUAAUAUAUUGAACCGCAUGGUUCAAUAGUGAAAGACGGUUUUGCUGUCACUUAUAGAUGGAUCCGCGCCGCAUUAGCUAGUUGGUAAGGUAACGGCUUACCAAGGCAACGAUGCGUAGCCGACCUGAGAGAGUGAUCGGCCACACUGGAACCGAGCCACGGUCAAGACUCCUACGGGAGGCAGCAGUAGGGAAUCUUCCGCAAUGGGCGAAAGCUUGACGGAGCAACGCAGCGUGAGUGAUGAAGGUCUUCGGAUCGUAAAACUCUGUUAUUAGGGAAGAACAAAUGUGUAAGUAACUAUGCACGUCUUGACGGUACCUAAUCAGAAAGCCACGGCUAACUACGUG